GACGAACGCUGGCGGCGUGCUUAACACAUGCAAGUCGAACGGAAAGGCCUGCUUUCCCUUGUGGAUUGCGGGUACUCGAGUGGCGAACGGGUGAGUAACACGUGAGUGAUCUGCCCCCAACUUGGGUAUAAGCCUGGGAAACUGGGUCUAAUUCCCGAUAGGACUGCAGGGUGGUGCCUGUGGUGGAAAACGAUUUUCUAGUGGUUGGGGAUGAGCUCGCGGCCUAUCAGCUUGUUGGUGGGGUAAUGGCCUACCAAGGCGGCGACGGGUAGCCGGCCUGAGAGGGGGGACGGCCGCAUUGGGACUGAGAUCCGGCCCAGACGCCUACGGGCGGCAGCAGUGGGGAAUAUUGGGCAGUGGGCGGAAGCCUGAUGCAGCGACGCCGCGUGGGGGAUGACGGCAUUCGGGUUGUAAUCUCCUUUCGACCGCGAGGAAGCCACCUGGUUGGAAGGGUGGUGACGGUAGUGGUAGAAGAAGCACCGGCUAACUACGUG
RNAcentral lists this ribosomal RNA (494 nucleotides) under uncultured bacterium. RNAcentral's name for it is "partial 16S ribosomal RNA". It matches the Rfam family "Bacterial small subunit ribosomal RNA", at positions 28 to 507 of the family's 1533-position model. The record is from RNAcentral.